Non-coding RNA from Zootoca vivipara (common lizard), 2390 nucleotides. NCBI's taxonomy places the organism in Eukaryota, Metazoa, Chordata, Lepidosauria, Squamata, Lacertidae. The record is from RefSeq and is a predicted model, not a curated record.
UGAAACACCAGAUGGCACCAGAGAGCAGGAAAUUUCCAAGCAUGAUUUUCCAUAGAGAUUUUUUUUCUUUUGGUUAAAAUGAUCUAAUUUCUUACUUAUUUCUAACAGUUUUCCCCUGUGUUUAGAUGCACCCCUGGACAACUAUUUUAUGGCAAAGGAGGGCCAAACAUCUUAUCUCAAAAUCAAGGCACUCCGGCUUCCCCACCCCUUUUGGAGCAGGUGGCAAAGAUUACUUUCCUCCCUGCUGUUGUUAGUUAGGCAUAGAAUAUGGAGAUCAUCUUUUGGUGGGAAAUGAGGACGAAUGCAUUUCGUCUGUUUCUGAUUUUAUUCUUAAAAGAUGGGAUACGGUCAACUCCAGAACAGUUGUAGCCACCUGUUCAAUUAGAGUUUGUGAACUGAAGCUGAUUGGAAUUUGACACUCUGUUGCUUUGCUGGGUUUUUGGGAUGGAUCAAUGGAGGCUUCUCGGAUAGCAGUGACACAAUCUGUAUGCUAGCCCAUGGAAUCCCAGAUGUCUCCCAUAAAUCAUUAGCAUACAGCCCCUGCUACAGCCGAGAAGGCUGAGUGUAGCAUAAUGCACUAAAAAUAAUAAAUCAAAUUAGCACAAAGGUCAAGCCAGCCCAGAGGGACUGGGGAUCAGCUAGUUCAUCCUUGCAGUGCAAGCUAAACGAUGCGGUGAAAUAGAUGGAAUCUCCACCUGCCUCUUCCCAGAGACAUAAUUCAUUAUCAAGCCCUGAGAUGCAAGGAAGAAAAUGUGGCCGCAAGAGAGUUUAGUCCGAGCAAUGUGGCAGGGAAAAGGAAUAUCUGAGGCUCCUGCAAGGGAAGCGGACUCCCAAACAUUUCAGAGUGUCAGGCAGCUGGGCCAGCGAUGGAGAGGAGCCCAGAUCUGAACAGAUUCUCAGCUAUCAAUUAUUAGCGUCAUCAGGGCAUCCUAGGCUAUUUGAGAGUCCACUCCUGCUACCCAGGGCUCGUAGCUGGAUGAGGAACCCUGUGUUUGGGCAAAUCCCUCGGUUUGAAUCCACCGAUUUCAAGGCCUCCACGAGUGUCAGGUUUUCAUGGAUCAUCAAAUAGGCCAGCACUAAAGUGGCUGAGCGGCUUAACCCCAUGGCACAAUGGACAAAUACCUUGCCUGCAGAGAAAUAACAAAAGAACAGCAUUUAAUUGAUGUGGAACAUAGAAGGUUAAGACCAGUGCUUGCCCCCCCUGCCCCCGGCCAGAACUCAUUGCAACUCAGUUCCGGCUCCUCUCAGGUACACCCAUCUGAAGAUACCCUGGAAAAGAUUGAAGAUUCCAGGACGGAGGCAGAACGGGACUCCAUACAACACCCAGGGUCAAUGAUGAGAUGCAGUUCCUCCUGCUAAUUCUAUGUACUGGUGGUGAGCUUUAGAAGCCCUGCACUGGGUUAUCGUAAAAAGAAACCUACAAUGAGAAACUUGAGUUACGCAUGUUUAUGUAAAGUCAGCAUUGGCCAAUGAGAAGGUAAAGAUCAAGGUAAAGGGACCCCUGGACAGUUAAGUCCAGUCAAAGGCGGCUAUGGGGUUGCGGCGCUCAUCUCGCUUUCAGGCCGAGGGAGCUGGCGUUUGUCCACAGGCAGCUUUCUGGGUCAUGUGACCAGCAUGACUAAACCGCUUCUAGCGCAACGGAAGACCGUGACGGAAACUGAGCGCACGGAAACGCUGUUUACCUUCUUGCCACAGCGGUACGUAUUUAUCUACUUGCACUGGUAUGCUUUCAAACUGCUAGGUUGGCAGGAGCUGGGACAGAGCCAUGGAAGCUCACCCCAUCCUGUGGAUUUGAACCACCGACCUUCUGAUCGGCAAGCCCAAGAGGCUCCAUGGUUUAGAUCACAGCGCCACCCACAUCCCUACAACGAGAUGGUUGAGUUAUGCAUGUUUAUGUAAAGUCAGCAUUGGCCAACGAGAAGAGAGGUGGUUAAUCAACUUUAAAAAUUCUCAGCUUGGUUGAUAGCCCAAUAACUUUUUAUGUAGGAUUUGAGAGACGGGAAUAACUUCCUGCUUUUUUCAAAACUAGCCUUGCUUCUGCAGCUUCAACUUCAGCCAGACAGGGAGAAAUUAAUCAAGCAACGCUAUCCACGCCACCUACUAUCACUACCCUAGGAAAAGUUUCACCUGCUCCAGUUCUGCAUGCAAAGCUGCCGUCACAACCCCACAUGCCACUCCUCCUCCUUUCCUGGAGAUCUAGUAUGGGGAAGCCCAUCCCUGAGCAAGAAAGGCCAAUUAAGCAAAGCAUCCUUAAGUAGCCUUAAGCCCCUUGCUAAAUGCGGCAAGAUUAAAGGGAACAGCGGCAGCUUUGGGCCCACGCAGCUGGCAACCGAGUGCCUCUCGCAUCUCGAAGGCCGCUCCUCCUCCCGCUAUCUCCCUCUUACCUCCUG